AUGUUUUACCACCUGAGAGACCGGGAGAUGCUCCGGAAGAGAAAGGCGGAAGCCAAGGAGAAGGAUUCAAUUCAGUGGGCUCUAGGGGAUUAUGAGAAAAGCAAGCGUCAGAAGAAAAGCCAAGGUGCCAGGAGGGGAAGGAAGCGUGGGCAUGUAAUGAAGCCUGCACCACAGCAAAGGCCUCAGUCCCUGAAGACAGAGGAAGAUGAGACGAUGUCUUCCGUGAUUACGCAGCAAGCUGAGUCUUCCCAGAUAGAUGCGCAGGACCUGUUUUCUGGUGUGCAGCUGGCAGAUCUGGAAGGGAUAUUGGCCUCUGAGAGCCAGAGUCCCCUGGGUGAGCCAUGGAAAGUUGCCAUCCCCAUGGGAUCCUGGGGGCUGCAGGUUGGGGCUGUGGGAACAGAUCCAUCUCUCUGAAUCAUGGGGAGGGGUUGAAAGCUCACUGCUGUGAGUAGAAUCACUGGCACCCUGGUCUGUGGCCCCUAGUCCCAUAUAGAGCUUCUUGUCCUAAGGAUUUCUGCAGCCUUUCCUGAAGGGGGAAGAUGUAGCUGUGUCCUGAUGCACCUCCCCCAGGAGAACAGGUCAGCAAGGGAAACACUAUAUACAACAGCAAAAGUUGGUUCACAGAUAAGUGUCUGCCUCAGGUCCUCUUCUGCCUGAAACUAAAGAAAGUGACCAGAGGGCCACAGAUGGCCAGAAGGACAGCAGUUAAUUGCCCAUGAUGGUGAGUCACCAAUGCUAACCACUCCUCUGCCAAGAGCCAGACCAGGGCAGAGGUGCUCUGAAAAGGAUAGGCAACCUCCUGAGCUCAGAUCCCAGAGGUCAGGGAGUGCCAGCCACUGUCUGCCCACAGCCCACUAGUCCCAGGGUGGUGGGGAGGGGAAGGGGCAGCUGGAGGCACAAUGCAUGCAGGAUUUAGGUUGGAUGUUAGGGGGAAGUUCUUCACUAGGAGAGUGGUGAGGCCCUGGAACAGGCUGCCCAGGGAGGUUGUGGAUGCCCCGUCCUUGGAGGUGUUCAAGGCCACGUUGGACGGGGUCCUGGGCAACCUGAUCUAGUAAAUGUGUAUGUUUGGUGGCCCUGCCAGGCAGGGGGGUUGGAACUACAUGAUCCUUGAGGUGCCUUCCAACCCAGGUCAUUCUGUGAUUCUGUGAUUCUGUGCCACCACUGCCCUGCACCAGGGCCAGCCUCCAGUCUCAAGACUCUGAAAUGGCAAGAAUCAAGACAGCACUUAUUUGUCUUCUGCCAUUAAGUCCAUUAAACCCCACAACCCAGGGGACCAGCACAUCCCCUGGAAGCCAUGAGGGCCAGCAGGAGAUGCUUGUCAUCACAGGCACCCCAUGGCCCAGCCAGCAGAGCCCCUGGCAGCACUGACCUCUCUCUCUGGUGUCCUUUGCAGGUGAAGAGGAUAUGCUGAAACUGGCGGAUGAGUUAGAGGACGUACUGAGUUCUUCACUGGAAAAUAAUGGAUCAGAAAUUGACACAAACUCAUCAAGCCCGUUUUAAAGUUUUAUGUAACAACUAACAUAGAAUCAUAGAAUUACCCAGGUUGGAAAAGACCUUGAAGAUCAUCAAGUCCAACCACAGCCUAACCAUAGUACCCUAACUCUAACAACCCUACACUAAAUCAUAUCCCUGAGCACCACAUCCAAAUGGCUCUUAAACACAUCCAGGGAUGGCGAUUCAACCACCUCCCUGGGGAGCCUAUUCCAGCACUUAACAACCCUUUCUGUAAAGAAGUUCUUCCUAAUAUCCAACCCAAACUUACCUUGGUGCAACUUGAGGCCAUUUCCCCUCAUCCUGUCACUUGUGUAUAUUGUGUCACAUAUGUAUAUUCUUCUAGAUUUAAGACUAAGAAAUACUGAAAAGUCUUUUUAAGACACUUGAAGCUGCUCUUUCCUCAGGAACAAUAAAAAUCUCUCUGCAAUGCUUCCUGUGUUGCUU
This is a long non-coding RNA of Coturnix japonica (Japanese quail), 1938 nucleotides long. The record is from Ensembl. Lineage: Eukaryota; Metazoa; Chordata; Aves; Galliformes; Phasianidae.